AAGCUUAGGUUAACUUAACUAAACCAGGGACCUUCAAAGUCCCAAAAAGAAACACAGCUCUAGCUUCUG
RNAcentral lists this transfer RNA (69 nucleotides) under Rhoptropus boultoni (Boultons Namib day gecko). RNAcentral's name for it is "tRNA-Trp". Lineage: Eukaryota; Metazoa; Chordata; Lepidosauria; Squamata; Gekkonidae. The record is from RNAcentral.